CCCUCCCUCCAAAAGCUACAGCUAACAUGGUGUGACUAUCUCCUGGACCAAAUUCGAUACUUCAUUGCCCUUAAAAUUCUGUGGAUAGAGGGAUUUCAUGAAAUCGGAGCUUUGCCAGAGUGGUUGGGCAAUCUUUCCUCUCUUCAAAAGCUGUAUAUUGUGGAUUGCUGGAACUUGGUGCAUCUGCCCACCAAGGAAGCCAUGCGACGCCUCACCCAAUUGAAAAUGCUGGAGAUUUAUCAUUGCCCCAAUUUGAAAGACAAUGAGCGGUCCAAGAUUGACCACAUUCCAUUUGCCAGAUUCAAGAAUAGUGGGCAGCCAGAUUACUCUGAUUUCUAAGGCUAACUCAGGAAGCUGGCAAGACAUUUGCAUCUAAUUUACUUGAUGACAACUGAUGCCAAGGCACUUCAGGGACCUGCCCAAAUUAGAAUUUUAAGGCUAACUUGUGAAGCUCAGAAGAUGUUUGUGUCUGGGAAAUAACCAACUUGAUUAGAACUGAUGCCAAGGAACAACAGAACUGAAAAUACAGAGCUCUUCUAGAGAGAGAGAGAGAGAGGGAGAGAGAGAUAACGUGCCCCUUUCAUUCUCAUCUCUGAUCUUCCUUCACAUCCACUGCUGUUAAUCUACUGAUCGCGGACUACUACUUUUUCAAUUCUCUUUCUAUUAUUCUUCCCAACAUUGACUGCAUCUACCUAGCUGCAAGCUACUCCUAAUUUAGAAUUCCUUUUUGGCUGGCAAAUGGGAAGAUCAUACUGGUAGACGUUUAUGAUACUUUUCCAAUGUCAAGGACGCUUCACGAUUGUUUGGUGCCGGGUUAACUUUUUAUCUCUUCAAGAACUGAAGUUUUGGAACAAGAGUGCUACUACCUACCAGCAAAGCAGGAAACAGCUAUAAAGUUCAGAUAUAUGCUUAUGUGCACAAAUGCAUGUAUUCCAGAACCAUGCAAGAAUCCGUAAGCCAAUGCUUGAGUAUCAUUCGUCUGUCUUAACUUUCUCUGCUAUAGGAGAUAAAAGGAGCAACAAAACCAACAUAUAUCUGAUGGCAUAAAUACACUAUGACAAUUGCUCUACUUGACUGCAUGCAAAGAUAUGGUGACAAUACUAAAAACUCCUACCAGUCCCUCUUUGAAGCUUCUCCAAGUUGUGCUAUCUUCAUUGAAAAUUUUGUAGUACUAAAGUUGCUGUGUAUGAGACAAGAAAAUUUUAGAGAAAUUUUCUACAAAACCAGAUACUUUCAAGCUGAAAUCAAAUUCAACUCUAAUUUUGAUGGAAUUUCUUAAUGAAGAGAGCUUCGUGUUGAUUGGUGAUUGGUGUUACUUUAAAUUCCUCUCUGUUUGCUUGGAGCUAAAGCCCACGUGGUGGGAUCUUUUCUUCUUUUUACUGUUGGUAUUUUAGUGUGAUAAAUAUUUGCUGUAAUCCAAGAACAGCAUGUUUUUGUUGUCUCAGUAGCUGGCAUUUGUUCUAGAGAAGAUUGUUGUAAACCCAUAUUUUAUAGUGGAAGAUUUUACUAGACUAGGUCCUGUGGUUUUUCCCUUCUCAUUGAAGGGUUUUCCACGUAAAAAUUUGGUGUCUUGAUUACGGAUUGUUGCUGAAUUUUUUUUAUUUAUAUUUGUUAUUGUGCUUUGCUAAUUUA
This is a long non-coding RNA of Quercus lobata, 1632 nucleotides long. RefSeq lists it as uncharacterized. Lineage: Eukaryota; Viridiplantae; Streptophyta; Magnoliopsida; Fagales; Fagaceae. The record is from RefSeq and is a predicted model, not a curated record. The transcript is spliced from 9 exons.